Molecule: long non-coding RNA, 432 nt
Organism: Maniola jurtina (meadow brown)
Lineage: Eukaryota; Metazoa; Arthropoda; Insecta; Lepidoptera; Nymphalidae
Exons: 2
Source: RefSeq, a predicted model, not a curated record
GUGUGUCUGCCAGUUUCCUUAUUAUACUAUAUAUAUUAGUAGUAUAUAAUCGAUCGUUUCACGGCCCAUCCUUUUAACCGAUUUUGACAAAAUUCAGUACAUAGAUAACUUCUAUCCCAUAGGCUGCUUUUAUUCCGGAUUAAAAUAGUUUCCACGCGAACGAAGUUGUGGGCAUCUACUAGCUAAGAUAAACACUCUUUCUACGCUAUAAAAUGUUGCAAAGUUAUCAAAUUCAAGUUGUUUUUAUCUAUGAGGUAGCGGAGUAGGGAACUGAAUCUAAUAGGGAACCUAAUACUAAGAUGGAGCUUAAAUUACUGUAGACGACGUCCGGGCAUGGCCGCUAUAGCCCGGACGUCGUCUAAAGUGACAAAACAAAAAACAAAAAAAAAAAAAACAAAAAAAAAAAAAAAGACAAAAAAACAAAAAAAAUAC